AACGAACGCUGGCGGCGUGCCUAACACAUGCAAGUCGGACGAGAAAGGGGCUUCGGCUUCGCGUCAAGUGGCGCACGGGUGAGUAACACGUGGGUAACCUGCCUCUAAGAUUGGGAUAACUCGUCGAAAGAUGAGCUAAUACCGAAUAAGACCACAGUUUCCGCGGGAACAGGGGUCAAAGGUAGCCUCUGCUUGCAAGCUAUCACUUAGAGAUGGGCCUGCGCACCAUUAGCUAGUUGGUAGGGUAACGGCCUACCAAGGCAAAGAUGGUUAGCUGGUCUGAGAGGAUGAUCAGCCACACUGGAACUGAGACACGGUCCAGACUCCUACGGGAGGCAGCAGUGGGGAAUAUUGCGCAAUGGGCGAAAGCUUGACGCAGCAACGCCGCGUGAGUGAUGAAGGCCUUCGGGUCGUAAAGCUCUGUCGGGAGGAACGAAUGCUCCUGAGGUUAACAGCCUCGGGAGGUGACGGUACCUUCAAAGGAAGCACCGGCUAACUCUGUG
RNAcentral lists this ribosomal RNA (503 nucleotides) under uncultured bacterium. Its description in RNAcentral is "partial 16S ribosomal RNA". It matches the Rfam family "Bacterial small subunit ribosomal RNA", at positions 29 to 507 of the family's 1533-position model. The record is from RNAcentral.